RNAcentral lists this ribosomal RNA (562 nucleotides) under uncultured Halobacteriales MT12. RNAcentral describes it as "bacterial SSU rRNA". It matches the Rfam family "Archaeal small subunit ribosomal RNA", at positions 22 to 588 of the family's 1478-position model. Lineage: Archaea; Methanobacteriati; Methanobacteriota; Halobacteria; Halobacteriales. The record is from RNAcentral.
GGCCAUUGCUAUCGGAGUCCGAUUUAGCCAUGCUAGUCGCACGGGUUUAGACCCGUGGCAGAUAGCUCAGUAACACGUGGCCAAACUGCCCUAUGGAUGGAGACAACCUCGGGAAACUGAGGCUAAUUUCCAAUACAGCUCCCGUGCUGGAGUGCAGAGAGCUGGAAACGCUCCGGCGCCAUAGGAUGUGGCUGCGGCCGAUUAGGUAGACGGUGGGGUAACGGCCCACCGUGCCGAUAAUCGGUACGGGUUGUGAGAGCAAGAGCCCGGAGACGGAAUCUGAGACAAGAUUCCGGGCCCUACGGGGCGCAGCAGGCGCGAAACCUUUACACUGUACGACAGUGCGAUAAGGGGACUCCGAGUGCGAGGGCAUACAGUCCUCGCUUUUCUGACCGUAAGGUGGUACAGGAACAAGUGCUGGGCAAGACCGGUGCCAGCCGCCGCGGUAAUACCGGCAGCACCAGUGAUGGGCGCUAUUAUUGGGCCUAAAGCGUCCGUAGCCCGGCGAGCAAGUUCGUCGGGAAAUCUGCCCGCUUAACGGCAAGGCGUCGCGGAAACUGUU